This 274-nucleotide ribosomal RNA is filed under the name uncultured bacterium. Its description in RNAcentral is "partial 16S ribosomal RNA". It matches the Rfam family "Bacterial small subunit ribosomal RNA", at positions 523 to 796 of the family's 1533-position model. The record is from RNAcentral.
AUACGAAGGGGGCUAGCGUUGUUCGGAAUUACUGGGCGUAAAGCGCGCGUAGGCGGAUCGUUAAGUCAGGGGUGAAAGCCCGGAGCUCAACUCCGGAACUGCCCUUGAUACUGGCGAUCUAGAGUCCGGGAGAGGUGAGCGGAAUUCCUAGUGUAGAGGUGAAAUUCGUAGAUAUUAGGAGGAACACCAGUGGCGAAGGCGGCUCACUGGCCCGGUACUGACGCUGAGGUGCGAAAGCGUGGGGAGCAAACAGGAUUAGAAACCCUAGUAGUCC